RNAcentral lists this ribosomal RNA (472 nucleotides) under uncultured bacterium. Its description in RNAcentral is "SSU rRNA". It matches the Rfam family "Bacterial small subunit ribosomal RNA", at positions 26 to 518 of the family's 1533-position model. The record is from RNAcentral.
AGGAUAAACGCUGGCGGCGUGCCUAACACAUGCAAGUCGAACGUCUCUUCUUUCGGGAAGAGGAGUGGCGGACGGGUGAGGAACACGUGGGAACCUGCCCUUCAGUGAGGAAUACCGGCGAGAAAUCGCCGACAAGACCGCAUAGCCCUCUCUGGUGAGAGCCAGAGAAGGAAAGCCUCGCAAGAGGCGCUGGAGGAGGGGCCUGCGUCCGAUUAGCUAGUUGGUGGGGUAAGAGCCUACCAAGGCGUCGAUCGGUAGCUGGUCUGAGAGGACGAUCAGCCACACUGGGAUUGAGAACGGCCCAGACUCCUACGGGGGGCAGCAGUGAGGAAUUUUCGGCAAUGGGGGAAACCCUGACCGAGCAACGCCGCGUGCAGGAAGACGGCCUUCGGGUUGUAAACUGCUUUUCUUUGGGACGAGCAAGGACGGUACCAGAGGAAUCAGCCCCGGCUCACUACGUGCCAGCAGCCGC